AUUGAACGCUGGCGGCAGGCUUAACACAUGCAAGUCGAGCGGGGGAAGGUAGCUUGCUACUGGACCUAGCGGCGGACGGGUGAGUAAUGCUUAGGAAUCUGCCUAUUAGUGGGGGACAACAUCUCGAAAGGGAUGCUAAUACCGCAUACGUCCUACGGGAGAAAGCAGGGGAUCUUCGGACCUUGCGCUAAUAGAUGAGCCUAAGUCGGAUUAGCUAGUCGGUGGGGUAAAGGCCUACCAAGGCGACGAUCUGUAGCGGGUCUGAGAGGAUGGGCCGCCACACUGGGACUGGGACACGGACCGGACUGCUACGGGAGGCAGCAGUGGGGAAUAUUGGACAAUGGGGGGAACCCUGAUCCAGCCAUGCCGCGUGUGUGAAGAAGGCCUUAUGGUUGUAAAGCACUUUAAGCGAGGAGGAGGCUACUCUAGUUAAUACCUAGGGAUAGUGGACGUUACUCGCAGAAUAAGCACCGGCUAACCCUGUGCCAGCCGCCGCCGUAA
RNAcentral lists this ribosomal RNA (501 nucleotides) under uncultured bacterium. Its description in RNAcentral is "partial 16S ribosomal RNA". It matches the Rfam family "Bacterial small subunit ribosomal RNA", at positions 30 to 523 of the family's 1533-position model. The record is from RNAcentral.